CGGAAGUUUUCGGAUGGAAGUUAAACUGAUUGAGUGGNGGACGGGUGAGUAACGCGUGGGUAACCUGCCUCNCACAGGGGGACAACAGCUAGAAAUGGCUGCUAAUACCGCAUAAGCGCACAGCUUCGCAUGAAGCAGUGUGAAAAACUCCGGUGGUGUGAGAUGGACCCGCGUCUGAUUAGCUGGUUGGUGAGGUAACGGCUCACCAAGGCGACGAUCAGUAGCCGACCUGAGAGGGUGACCGGCCACAUUGGGACUGAGACACGGCCCAAACUCCUACGGGAGGCAGCAGUGGGGAAUAUUGCACAAUGGGGGAAACCCUGAUGCAGCGACGCCGCGUGAGUGAAGAAGUAUUUCGGUAUGUAAAGCUCUAUCAGCANGNAAGAGAAUGACGGUACCUGACUAAGAAGCCCCGGCUAACUACGUGCCAGCAGCCGCGGUAAUACGUAGGGGGCAAGCGUUAUCCGGAUUUACUGGNUGUAAAGGGAGCGUAGACGGCUUAGCAAGUCUGAAGUGAAAGCCCGAGGCUCAACCCCGGGACUGCUUUGGAAACUGUUAAGCUGGAGUGCUGGAGAGGUAAGCGGAAUUCCUAGUGUAGCGGUGAAAUGCGUANAUAUUAGGAGGAACACCAGUGGCGAAGGCGGCUUACUGGACAGUAACUGACGUUGAGGNUCGAAAGCNUGGGGGAGCAAACAGGAUUANAUACCCUGGUAGUCCACGCCGUAACGAUGAAUACUAGGUGU
This 743-nucleotide ribosomal RNA is filed under the name uncultured bacterium. RNAcentral's name for it is "bacterial SSU rRNA". It matches the Rfam family "Bacterial small subunit ribosomal RNA", at positions 67 to 823 of the family's 1533-position model. The record is from RNAcentral.